Molecule: ribosomal RNA, 486 nt
Filed under: uncultured bacterium
Lineage: Bacteria
Description: partial 16S ribosomal RNA
Rfam family: Bacterial small subunit ribosomal RNA
Source: RNAcentral
GAUGAACGCUGGCGGCGUGCUUAACACAUGCAAGUCGAACGGAAAGGCCCCAGCUUGCUGGGGUACUCGAGUGGCGAACGGGUGAGUAACACGUGGGUGAUCUGCCCUGCACUUUGGGAUAAGCUUGGGAAACUGGGUCUAAUACCGAAUAUGACCACUUCUUGGAUGUUGUGGUGGAAAGCUUUUGCGGUGUGGGAUGAGCCUGCGGCCUAUCAGCUUGUUGGUGGGGUAAGGGCCUACCAAGGCGGCGACGGGUAUCCGGCCUGCGAGGGUGUAGGGACACAUUGGGGCUGAGAUACGGCCCAGACUCCUACGGGAGGCAGCAGUGGGGAAUAUUGCACAAUGGGCGAAAGCCUGAUGCAGCGACGCCGCGUGGGGGAUGAAGGCCUUCGGGUUGUAAACUCCUUUCGCUAUCGACGAAGCCACUUGUGGUGACGGUAGGUAGAUAAGAAGCACCGGCUAACUACGUGCCAGCAGCCGCAGUAA